Eriocheir sinensis (Chinese mitten crab) is the source of this 247-nucleotide long non-coding RNA. RefSeq lists it as uncharacterized. The transcript has 2 exons. NCBI's taxonomy places the organism in Eukaryota, Metazoa, Arthropoda, Malacostraca, Decapoda, Varunidae. The record is from RefSeq and is a predicted model, not a curated record.
CGGAGACAUCACGUUCCUAUGCUAUUAAAGAUAUAUAAAGGGGAUAAAAAGGUGAAUGAGAAAUGACAUAUUGAAAGGGUCUGAAAGUUACAUAGAUUGGUUAACGAAGAAGUAAAAACAGAAGCAGAAAUAAACGGAGACAGCACGUUCCUAUGGCAUUAAAAAUAUAAAAAGCGGAUAAAAAGGUGAUUAAAAUAUGACAUGUUUAAAGCGAGUGAAAGUUACAUAGAUUGAUUAACGGAGAAGU